This 107-nucleotide non-coding RNA is filed under the name bovine gut metagenome. RNAcentral's name for it is "THF riboswitch". It matches the Rfam family "THF (Tetrahydrofolate) riboswitch aptamer". Rfam says of the family: THF riboswitch presents a pseudoknot that joins P1-P2 and the loop of P3 and two THF binding. The record is from RNAcentral.
CAGAGUAGGAAGAUACGUGCUGACCGGGAGGUCUGAGUGCCGCGGGGACGGGGAGUUGCCCCGCGGACGAACGCGCAAGCGGCAGUGUGUCUUCCGCAUCCCGCUGU